AAUCUGCUAAAUAAUCGAUAAUCCACGUUAUUUUUUACUUUUAUUAAAAUUUUAUAUACCUCCGUCUUAAGAAUUUAUUUUAUAAUACAAUUCCAAAAAGAUUUCUAAUAAGUUAGGUAAAGGUGUAGACUAUAUAAAAGUUAUAGUGGGUUACUUUAAAUUUUAUUUAAGGAAAAAAGAUCAAAAUUUUUUUACAAAAAGGAUUUAUUAGUAGUGUUUUAAUAAUACUAAAACUCGAAAAAGAUAAUAAAUGUGC
RNAcentral lists this ribosomal RNA (256 nucleotides) under Nephilengys papuana. RNAcentral's name for it is "partial 12S ribosomal RNA". Lineage: Eukaryota; Metazoa; Arthropoda; Arachnida; Araneae; Nephilidae. The record is from RNAcentral.